RNAcentral lists this ribosomal RNA (331 nucleotides) under uncultured bacterium. Its description in RNAcentral is "bacterial SSU rRNA". It matches the Rfam family "Bacterial small subunit ribosomal RNA", at positions 568 to 898 of the family's 1533-position model. The record is from RNAcentral.
CGCGUAGGCGGUUUGGUCAGUUAGGCGUGAAAUUCCUGGGCUUAACCUGGGGACUGCGCUUAAUACGGCCGAGCUUGAGUUCGGAAGAGGGUAGUGGAAUUCCCAGUGUAGAGGUGAAAUUCGUAGAUAUUGGGAAGAACACCGGUGGCGAAGGCGGCUACCUGGUCCGAUACUGACGCUGAGGCGCGAAAGCGUGGGGAGCAAACAGGAUUAGAUACCCUGGUAGUCCACGCUGUAAACGAUGUGUGCUGGAUGUUGGGCGACCUAGUCGCUCAGUGUCGUAGCUAACGCGAUAAGCACACCGCCUGGGGAGUACGGCCGCAAGGUUGAA